GCCCUCGUAGCUCAGCGGACAGAGCACCGGAUUCCGGAUCCGGGGGCCGCUGGUUCGAUCCCAGCCGGGGGCAC
This 74-nucleotide transfer RNA is filed under the name Actinoplanes auranticolor. RNAcentral's name for it is "tRNA-Arg". It matches the Rfam family "tRNA". From Rfam's summary of the family: Transfer RNA (tRNA) molecules are approximately 80 nucleotides in length. Their secondary structure includes four short double-helical elements and three loops (D, anti-codon, and T loops). Lineage: Bacteria; Bacillati; Actinomycetota; Actinomycetes; Micromonosporales; Micromonosporaceae. The record is from RNAcentral.